UACGUAGGGUGCAAGCGUUAAUCGGAAUUACUGGGCGUAAAGCGUGCGCAGGCGGUUUUGUAAGUCUGUCGUGAAAGCCCCGGGCUCAACCUGGGAAUUGUGAUGGAGACUGCAAGGCUUGAAUCUGGCAGAGGGGGGUAGAAUUCCACGUGUAGCAGUGAAAUGCGUAGAGAUGUGGAGGAACACCGAUGGCGAAGGCAGCCCCCUGGGUCAAGAUUGACGCUCAUGCACGAAAGCGUGGGGAGCAAACGGG
Molecule: ribosomal RNA, 253 nt
Filed under: uncultured bacterium
Lineage: Bacteria
Description: partial 16S ribosomal RNA
Rfam family: Bacterial small subunit ribosomal RNA
Source: RNAcentral